Molecule: non-coding RNA, 353 nt
Organism: Coffea arabica (coffee)
Lineage: Eukaryota; Viridiplantae; Streptophyta; Magnoliopsida; Gentianales; Rubiaceae
Source: RefSeq, a predicted model, not a curated record
AUGUCAAACCAGAGUCAGUCACCCUUAAACCGUCCACCCGUACGCGUGUCAGAUCAGGUUCCAAAAAUCCAACUCUUUCUUUUUCCUCUCUCUAUAUAUUGGUCGCAUCUCUCCUCGGACUUUAAAUAUUUCCCAGACUCUCUCAACCCACCCAAGAAACGAAGUCUCUGGUCGAAUUCUUUAUCAGGAAGAAAUGGGUCGCUCAAGCCGCUCAAGCCGAACCAUUUAUGUGGGAAAUCUCCCCGGAGAUAUCCGUGAGAGUGAAGUGGAAGACUUGUUUUACAAGUAUGGUCGUAUUGUGGAUAUUGACUUGAAAAUUCCUCCUCGACCACCUGGUUAUGCAUUUGUGGAGU